AUUGAACGCUGGCGGCAGGCCUAACACAUGCAAGUCGAACGGUAACAGGAAGAAGCUUGCUUCUUUGCUGACGAGUGGCGGACGGGUGAGUAAUGUCUGGGAAACUGCCUGAUGGAGGGGGAUAACUACUGGAAACGGUAGCUAAUACCGCAUAACGUCGCAAGACCAAAGAGGGGGACCUUCGGGCCUCUUGCCAUCGGAUGUGCCCAGAUGGGAUUAGCUAGUAGGUGGGGUAACGGCUCACCUAGGCGACGAUCCCUAGCUGGUCUGAGAGGAUGACCAGCCACACUGGAACUGAGACACGGUCCAGACUCCUACGGGAGGCAGCAGUGGGGAAUAUUGCACAAUGGGCGCAAGCCUGAUGCAGCCAUGCCGCGUGUAUGAAGAAGGCCUUCGGGUUGUAAAGUACUUUCAGCGGGGAGGAAAGGAGUAAAGUUAAUACCUUUGCUCAUUGACGUUACCCGCAGAAGAAGCACCGGCUAACUCCGUG
RNAcentral lists this ribosomal RNA (490 nucleotides) under uncultured bacterium. Its description in RNAcentral is "partial 16S ribosomal RNA". It matches the Rfam family "Bacterial small subunit ribosomal RNA", at positions 30 to 507 of the family's 1533-position model. The record is from RNAcentral.